Molecule: RNA transcript, 2926 nt
Organism: Ornithorhynchus anatinus (platypus)
Lineage: Eukaryota; Metazoa; Chordata; Mammalia; Monotremata; Ornithorhynchidae
Gene: WDR93
Gene name: WD repeat domain 93
Exons: 18
Source: RefSeq, a predicted model, not a curated record
GAAGCCUGCAGGUCCUGUGAGAGACCUGCAGUAAGCAAGAUUGGAAUCCAUCUCCACAGAAGCCCAUUGCCCCUGCAUUGUUGACUCCCAGAUGGCUGCUCCAGGAUGCUAAAGAUUCAAAGAGAUAUGGACUUUCCCACCUGGGGUCUGGGGCCCUCAUUCUAGAACUACCACAGUACACUGAAACAAACUGUGGCCCCUUCUUUCCGCUUCCGUAGUUUGCCACAAAUGACUGCGCAGAGCAACAAAGAGCUGGUGCCCAAGAGGGAAGCUGGGAAAUCUAAUGUCCAGGAUCACUUCCUGUAGCCAAUCUCUCUAGGACUUCAUGAAAGAUCUCACUGGCCUCCUUAGUGGUUGCUUCAGCCCUGGACAGCCUGUGUUGAAAACAGGAGAAUGCCAGUCUAUAUCCGCAAGGGUCCUCUUGAGAUCCCUCCCCCUUCUGAGAGGGACUGGAUUAAGGAUGAUGAGGAAGAUUACAUCUUGGAGGACCCAGACCAAAUCCUGGAUUCUCUGCCUCAGCCCUUCCGGAUGAUCAAUAAACUGCUGAAUCGUCUGUUUGACCGGACGUGGGACAUCAUCGAGGAGAGGGAAGUAGUCAGAGAGGUUGAGCAAUCCAAGGUUAAGCCCACCCUCUACCAGCCGACCGCAGAGAUCAAGCUUUCAAAAGUGCCGAACUGUGUGACGACCUCACGAGGCUACCUGUUCAUUGGGUUCUCCAGAGGACUGCAGGUCUUCAGUCUGUUGAGCAGCACCCGGAUCUGUGGCUGGGAAGCAGCCAGAGUUGAGAUCACUUCCAUCUGGGCUGUGGCUCUUGGGAAUGAGACCCUUCUUGCCACCCUGGACGACAUGGGUGUUGCUCGGCUGUUUUAUUUUUACAAGGAGAAUCUCUUCUUAAUCAAGGCCAUCAAUGAAACCGAAGAUCUCAGCAAGCAAGCCACCUGUGUGAAGCUGGAGCUCUCUCCUGGUGGGGAGUUUGCAGCUUUCCUUCUGCAAGGAGGUGGAGAAGUUUGGCUGGAUGUGUACAGAUUGCCCAAGGAUUCUUGGCUCAGAGAGAUGGAACACCCCCAUUCGGCAGGAACCAGCAAGAAGAAAAUGAGCCAGAACCAUCUGAAAUCAAUGGAGUCCCUGGGAUCCGAAGGUUCAGAGUUGAGUGAGUGUAGGUCACAGACCAGGCCCAGCAGCCAGAAGCGCUCAAGGUCUCUGUCCCCACCACCGCAAGACAUUCGAGGAGAUUUGAAGCUGAGUAGCCCAGUUCACAUGUUGAAGAUCAGACCACCCAAACCCAUCACAGGAACUGCAUUUAAAAGUCUCCUGGAAGCCUUGCAAAAGAUGGAGGAGAGCUCUGGGCUGGGCUCUGGGCAGAAUCACCUCAUCAAAGACAGCCAAUGGGAGCAGCAGGAAGCAAUUUUUUCCAUUUUGUUCAAGAAAUAUCUGGAUACAGAAUGCUCCGAAUUCAAAGACGAAAAACCAAGUCUUGCCGAGUUCCAUUUUCUCCUUCCUGGCCAGAUCUUUACCGUACCCACCGAACCAGGGUGCCCUUCAGGAAUGGCCUGUGCCCUUGGCAUUCACUGGAGUGGAAGCCACAAUUUCAACCUCUAUUCACUAGUCCGAACACAGAAGGAGAAAGUUGGCCAUGCUGCUCCAUCAGACCCCGAUCUGAAGCCCGACACAGUCUGGCCAUGUGCGGCACCCAUCGUGAGCUCAGCGGUCAGCUCCUGCUCGUCUUACCUGGCUCUAGCCUGCACUGAUGGAACGGUCACUGCCUGGGACCGAACCCAAGGGUUCCCUCUUGCGGUGGUGGCCCUCCCCCAGGGAUGUCUCAGUCGCAGCCUUCACUUCCUGAACAGCUCCCCGACCUAUAACGAAGUCCUGAGGCUAAGGAUGCCCGUUAGCCCCCAGGUGCAGUGUGGAGUUUUGGGCACUGACGGGGCUCUCUACCUGGUGACGGCAACCAGGGCCAGAGAGUCAUGCCUCAGCGUGCUCUCAGAGAGCCCGACAAAGCUGAGUGAGACACUCUGUGCGGUGACAUCCGUCCCAGCCUUACCUGACGCAAUGCUGAUUUUCUUCUGGGAUGGUUCUGUGCAACUGGUGAAUGUGGACCAGAAGAGCGUUGCUGGUGCCUUUGCUCCCCCUGAUUCCCACAAGAUAGCCAGCCCCUGGCAACCGGUGUUCGCUGUGGAUCCAGACAAUCCGAUCCUCCUGCUCCGAGGAGACAGACACAGUGACACAGACAAGGCUACGAAGACCAGAGGUUGUGAGAGCUCCUUAUUCCUUUUCCACUUUGAUUCCUUCCCACUAGAAGAGUUUUUCCCAAAGGGCCCGAGGGCCCCACAGCUUGAAAUGCCAGCCAGUCAAGGCUCCAUCCAGGACCUGCACUGGGAUAAGAGAUGUGAACUUUUCCUCCAGAACAGAUUGAAGGGCCUGGACAAGCGCAUCCUGAAAAGAUCUCAAUGCUGGACUCAGCUGCGGAAGCACUCGAUAGCCCUGACCAGAGACAGCCUCAGGAAGUCAUCCGCCUUUAUGGAGCGAGCCCAGGAGCAGUGAUCACUAGCCUUUGGCUUCCGAGCCAGCCAGCCCCCUUCGGCCCCUGGGAGCUGGGGAGAGCUCAGGAGAGCUCUCAGGAGGGUAACCCCCUGACUGUUGAGGGGGUUUAGUCAUGGACUCAAACCUGAGAAUCAACAGAAAGCCCUGUUUGGAGGGUACCUGUCUCCGCUGGUUAUGGGAGAGGAUAUCAUUCUGAAAAUGUCAGAGAUGAAGGUCAUGCUGAAGUGAAAUGUGUAGGCUCUGCAGCUCUGGAUGCCUUAGUAAUUGCACCUGUAAAAGAAUUUGAAAACAGGUGGUUCAGAAAGAUCGAAGAGCCCCUUUGAAACUAGGGGCUGCUAAUAGAUUUCAACCUAGCAGCCAAUUUUAAAAGUUCUUGCUUCUG